Molecule: long non-coding RNA, 1671 nt
Filed under: Rattus norvegicus (Norway rat)
Lineage: Eukaryota; Metazoa; Chordata; Mammalia; Rodentia; Muridae
Description: long non-coding RNA NONRATT013949
Source: RNAcentral
AGUUUUUGCAGCUUAUCUCUCUCUUCCCCAGUGUCAGGGCACAGCCCACUUUAAAGAAUGUUUUUGCAUUACUUAUUUUCAUGUUAAUAAUGUUUUGUUCAAGUCUAUAUAGCAGGUGGUUUCCCUUGACAUUUUAUUUAGCCAUCCCCUGUCUUUGGGUGCACUGUGGACUGGGGACAGAAUGGAGUUGCAGCCAAACUCUUUUCUGGCCUUUUAUCUUAGGUUGCACACAGAUACUCCUGAUACAUGACCCUGACUACUUGACUUGGUGCACCGGAACGGAGAGUUAGACAUUAAUAUUCAAGGAAGUGAAGGCAUGCUUGAAGCAGUCUGCUCUCUCUAGCAAGUAUGGGACUUUCCCAUCUGAUGCCUAAUUAAGAGGGCAGUUGAACUCCUUGGUUAUUACUACAUCUAGGAGAGUGGAAAUGUGGUUUGUGGCAAGGUGUUACAAAUUCUGUGACAUACAACUCUUAGAACAUUUGAAAUUUCUCUGGAAGUAUUGUUUGCUAAUCAAACCUUUACAUUUGGUACCAUAAGGAGUUCUUUAUGCUUUGCCAAGACAUUGUGUGAGGGUGACAGUGGGAUCACAGAUUACCUUAUGCCACGAAUGUGAUUGAUUCCCUCCCCUCCAGUCUGAAGAAGCAGAAGCAGAAGCCUGGCUGUUUGUCACUGUGUCGGCUCUGCAGUUACAGAGCAGUGGUUCUCACUUGUGGGUCGUGACUCCUUUGGGGGUGAAUGGCUCUUUCACAGGGCUGCAGCAUUAGGAAGGUUGUAGACUGACUGGAUGAUGUCAGUGGCAAGGGAUUAGUCCUAGCAUGCGUUUGUCAGCACAGCUCUUAGCAUGACCUGCCCAGUUUGCCAGCUCAGUCAUUCGUUCACCUACUGUUAGCAAACUAGCACCACAAGGAAUUUAAGACAGAUGUUGCCUGCUUCUUUUGUCAUUGUGUCACAAGGCUUGCAAAAGCCUGGGGCACAGUUUAGUCUUAGUUUUGACUCCCCCCCCUUUUUUUUUUUAAAAAGGCAAAGAGCCGAACCCCAAUUCCUGUUGUCCCAUAUGUGUGUGAUGUGACUUCCAUGUGUAUAUAAAACUAUUGCACCCUAACCAAACUUCCUCAGACUGUGCACUGUUUGUUUAAAAUAAUCACGUAUUUUAGUUCAAUGCUGUUGUAUUUUUUCUUUUUAUUUAAAACACUACUUAUUCUCUAACAAAUUUCAAAGGGUAGAGAUCUUUAAAAAAAAUCACUGGAAACGAGGAAAUGCGUUUGUUGUUGCUUUGUUCUUUAAAGAGUGCAAAGGUCGUUGGCUCUUUUGCUCUUCUUACCUUGAACAUGAAUUGUCAGCCAUUGUGUGGCUAGGACCCAGUGCACUUGGUGUUCACAGACCUGCUGUUGCUGGCCUGAGCGUGGACUUGAUGCAGUGACGACAAAUCAUUGCGUAGAAGUAAUGUUUCCAAAUGUGCAACUCAAGUUUGUAAAUGAAAUUUGGUUCUUUACAUCAUUAUUUAGGUUUUGUUUCCAUUUAGUAUUUAAUGGUCUUUGGAGAAAAAAAUAAACAGAGUGUUAUAUAUAUAUUUUUUGGUGCAAGAUAAGAUUUUGUUUUUUGAAACAAGUCUGUAGCAUAAAGGUUAAACUAUUUUAAGAUAAAAUAAAAAUAGAGUGUAUUUAAACAAUG